This 433-nucleotide ribosomal RNA is filed under the name uncultured bacterium. RNAcentral's name for it is "partial 16S ribosomal RNA". It matches the Rfam family "Bacterial small subunit ribosomal RNA", at positions 29 to 507 of the family's 1533-position model. The record is from RNAcentral.
AACGAACGCUGGCGGCAUGCCUAACACAUGCAAGUCGAACGAGACCUUCGGGUCUAGUGGCGCACGGGUGCGUAACGCGUGGGAACCUGCCCUUAGGUUCGGAAUACCUCCCCGAAAGGGGUGCUAAUACCGGAUAAUUUCUUCGGACCAAAGAUUUAUCGCCUUUGGAUGGGCCCGCGUUGGAUUAGCUAGUUGGUAGGGUAAAAGCCUACCAAGGCGACGAUCCAUAGCUGGUCUGAGAGGAUGAUCAGCCACACUGGGACUGAGACACGGCCCAGACUACUACGGGAGGCAGCAGUGGGGAAUAUUGGAAAAUGGGCGAAAGGCUGAUCCAGCAAUGCCGCGUGAGUGAUGAAGGCCUUAGGGUUGUAAAGCUCUUUUACCCGGGAUGAUAAUGACAGUACCGGGAGAAUAAGCUCCGGCUAACUCCGUG